This 57-nucleotide microRNA precursor is filed under the name Echinococcus granulosus. Its description in RNAcentral is "Egr-Mir-1993_pre stem-loop". The record is from RNAcentral. RNAcentral also lists the same sequence under 1 other name. Lineage: Eukaryota; Metazoa; Platyhelminthes; Cestoda; Cyclophyllidea; Taeniidae.
AGUGGAUUUGUUGCAUAUUAUACAUCGUGGGGUUUGUAUUAUGCAACUUUUCACUCC